GCAUGUGAGGGCAAUCUGGCUGCUCUAUCUGUUACCCCACUGACUUCCAGGGUUGAUUUGGGUGUCCCCUUCCUCCCUCACCGCUCUGUGUGCAUCCUCCCGAAGCUGUGUGCUCGGAAGAGGACAACCUUUCCAAGUAGAGGAGGACCGGUCUUUGCUCAAGAGUAUACAAGUAGCUGUGCUCCCCGGCUAGAACCUCCAAGCAAGCUCUCAAGACAAAAAUGAAAACCUAUGCUUUUUAGUACUUCCAGCUCUACCCCCACCCCAUUUUACUG
Molecule: small nuclear RNA, 275 nt
Filed under: Jaculus jaculus (lesser Egyptian jerboa)
Lineage: Eukaryota; Metazoa; Chordata; Mammalia; Rodentia; Dipodidae
Description: 7SK RNA (ENSJJAG00000004923.1)
Rfam family: 7SK RNA
About the family: 7SK was discovered as an abundant small nuclear RNA in the mid-70s but a possible function has only recently been suggested.
Source: Rfam by way of RNAcentral